This is an unclassified non-coding RNA of Mesocricetus auratus (golden hamster), 311 nucleotides long. Its record names the gene 7SK. It matches the Rfam family "7SK RNA". From Rfam's summary of the family: 7SK was discovered as an abundant small nuclear RNA in the mid-70s but a possible function has only recently been suggested. Two independent studies have found that 7SK RNA binds the CDK9/cyclin T complex (known as elongation factor P-TEFb). P-TEFb activates transcription by phosphorylating the C-terminal domain of RNA polymerase II. The record is from Ensembl. Lineage: Eukaryota; Metazoa; Chordata; Mammalia; Rodentia; Cricetidae.
AGAUGUGAGGGCAAUCUGGCUGCUGCGUUUGUCAUCCCAUUGACUGGUUGAUUCUGCUGACUUGGCUGGGUCAGAGUGUUCCCCCCUGUCACCUCCAAGUGUACCUCUCUAGAACUUGCCUACCUGGUCAGAGAGCACAAUCUCCCCAACAGAAGAGGACUCUUCUUCCGUCAAAGACACCCUAGUAGCUGUGCCCUCUGCUAGAACCUCCAUACUCCAGGAAUCACUUCCUCCAUUACCAGUGGCUAGUGUAUGGACACCUUCAGGCACACAGGGUUAGGGGGGAGUAGUAAGGAUGGUCCUCCUGAGCC